This 469-nucleotide long non-coding RNA is filed under the name Pan troglodytes (chimpanzee). Its description in RNAcentral is "lincRNA". The record is from RNAcentral. Lineage: Eukaryota; Metazoa; Chordata; Mammalia; Primates; Hominidae.
CAGCCCUGUAGGAGACACCUCCAGAGAAAGUAACAGCUCUCAAUUGAUUAGCUGAGGAGACCGAUUUUGUAAAUCACUACUUUUCUAACAACACUGGCACAGAUGGCCAAGCAUUCUCCCUUUUCUCAGAGCUGGUUUUCCAUCCCGGAAAGAGCCAGAAUUAGCUUCUGUUACUUACAACUGUGAGUCCUGACUGAAAACAUAUUUCUUCCUUUGAAGAAUUGUUACCUGUAACAGGCUAAGAAGAAUAUUAAGAAUAAACAGAUGCUUUUACAGCUCGCAUUGGCGGGAAGUUCUGGCACAAAUGAAGUAUCUAUAAGGAGCAGCAGAGUCAAGGUGGUGAUCCUGUGGAUGAAUAACUGAAACCUGAUAUACUUGACAGCAGAAAAUAUAAAGCAAAUUGAAAAGGAGAGAGUGUGGAGAUAAAUAAGAAAAUGAAAGAACUGAUAAAGUCACUUGGAUUAAAAAA